RNAcentral lists this long non-coding RNA (1610 nucleotides) under Anas platyrhynchos platyrhynchos (common mallard). RNAcentral's name for it is "lncRNA (ENSAPLG00000026314.1)". Lineage: Eukaryota; Metazoa; Chordata; Aves; Anseriformes; Anatidae. The record is from RNAcentral.
GAAAUCUCCAGGGGUGUCCAGCCCGGAGCGAUGCACUGCCUCCCCUGGGCUCCCAGUCCUCACCAGCGCCUCCCAGUUCAGCCACUGGUGGGGGGGGGGACAAAGCCACGCGGGGCUCCCAGUGACAUCGGGGUGGCCCCAGCUUUUCCCCCAGGGUUUGUCCCCGCUCUCGGCUGAAAUCCCUGUGGAAAUGGGAUCGGGCACCGCUCCCCAGGGGAUGCAAAAUCAGAGCCCCAGCCCCGGUGUGGGGCACCACAGAGUGGGAUAAGGACACGGUAGAUCACGUUAUGGGGUUAUUUCUCCUGCUUUAAAGUCUAAGGUGUGACAACAGCUCCCGAUUUGUCACGGAGCAUCCUGCAGCAGCUCGUGUGGAUGGCGAGGGCCGGGGGCUGUCACCGAGCGCUCGCAGCUCAUGGCGGUGACACCGGGCUGGGGGGGGUCAUUGGUGAACGAGGGGGCUCCGGUUCCUUCCCCGGGUUAUGGGUUUAGCUGGGAAUCUGUCUGGGGUGACCAUCUGGUGGCAUCUGUGCCGCUCAGCUGUCACCCCCCUCCUGGCAGCGGGGACACAUGGGGUACCCCGUGGUAUUGGGGUACAGCGGGGAUGCGCCCGCGGCUCGGGACCAUGGCACGGGGGUAGGGGGCAGCCGUGCCAGGCACGUCCGUGGCUCCUGCCGCAGUGGGGACGGACAGACGGACGGACGGACGGAUGGACAGGUGGGCUAGCAUGGGGAGGCAGGGCAGGACGCACAGCUGAGCCUCCUUAGCAGACGAGGUGGCCUCAGGUGAUGCCAACAUCCCAUUAAGGGGCUUUAUCAAGGGAGGCUGCCCCUUUUAGCCGAGAUGCUGCUUUUGGGCUUGGAGAGCCUCUGCUCCUGCUCAUUAAUUAGAGAGGUUUGUGCUGGUUGGCCUCGUCGAGCAGCCGUAAUGUGAUGGGCGAUGAGGGACUCCCAAGCUCUUCUGUGGGGGUCGUUAAGCUACGGAUGGACUCAAGCAGGGAAAGGGCAUUUUUGGCUGAGCCCUAAAACCAGCUGGUCCUGCACUGCCCCUGCUUGUGGUCCUGAUGUCCUGGGCCAUCAGGAGGAUGGAGCUCACCACGGGAGCCUCGUACUCAGCUACGGGGAGGGCAGCUCCUCCUUUCUGGGGACGGAUCUCCUGGAAGCCAAGCACGUGCCCAUGGUGUCCACCUCGUGGUGCCCAGCCCUUGAUGCAUCCCUCAUCAUCCCAGGCUGCCUCCUGGUGCCGGGGUCCCUCUGGAGGGGAUGGAGCUGUUACAGGUCCCAUGCUACGGAGCCAUCUCUGCCCUCCAGGUGGUGGCACCAGGUCGGGGUGAAGCUUGUGCCCGUGCCCAGGUGCCCCCCGAAGCCCUGCCACGCUCACACCAUCCCUGUCCUGGCUCUGUUUGGGGCCGUGGGAGGGACAGGGCCGCGGGGUCUCGCACACCUCGCUCCCAGCCCGGUGCCUGCCUUGUCAGGUCUGAUCAGGAGGAGGAUCAGUCGGCCCCGUGCGCUCUCUCCAGAUUUAAUUAACGGGCCUUUCAUCUCUACCCUGAAGGAAUCUGCUAUCUUCUGUCUUCUUAAUUAACGUUCAUUAAGCAAAUCAGAAGAACACUU